Long non-coding RNA from Quercus lobata, 1781 nucleotides. RefSeq lists it as uncharacterized. The record is from RefSeq and is a predicted model, not a curated record. The transcript has 9 exons. NCBI's taxonomy places the organism in Eukaryota, Viridiplantae, Streptophyta, Magnoliopsida, Fagales, Fagaceae.
GAAUGGCCACUCUACCAAGAGAUUUUGAUGACUCCUCUAUCCAACAGUGUGGCAGGAUGGCAUAUUCUUGUUUCACUUGGGCAGUGACAAUUACAAUGAACUUGCCACUUGAGAAGUUACAUAUAUUCACGAGUAUGGCGGCUUUUUGAAUUUCUACAUUUUGAAGCCCAUUUGGUUUGCAUGCUACAAUUCGUGCACAUGCUGGAAGAACAAUUCUUUAUAGUAAGCAGAUAAGUGAAUGGCCACUCUGCCCGAGAGAUUUUGAUGACGACUCUAACCAAUUAGAAGAGGGAAAGAUCCAUGACAUACUCCAACAGUGUGGCAAGAUGGCAUAUUCUUGUUUCAAUUGGACUGUGACAAUUACAAUGAACUUGCCACUUGAGAAAAUACAUAUAUUCACGAGUAUGGUGGCUUCUUAGAAGUUUUUUCAAUUUCUAUAUUUUGGUUUCUUCCAUGCCCUAUAUAUAUACUAAACAAGGGAUCUUUUUACUAAAUAGAACUCCUGACAGUUCAUCCACCUAUCAAAUCUUAUCUGUUAUCAUGGCCUCACCUAGAGGCUAGAGCCCUUUGUUCCAGUGACUUCAACACUUCAAUGAUUGCUAAGCCUUCUUCUCUUGUCAAUCUUGUUUUCCUAAGAGGCCAACCAGUUUGGGUGCUCCAAUUCAUACAAAAGUUUGAAGGAUACUAGCUUACAGUGAGCGGAUAAGGCAAUGAACGACCUGAAGUUGACAAAUUUGCUAGAAUCUCAGGACGUUAAAAGCUAAUUGCAUCUGGAUGUGAGGUGUGGUAGUCAGUGGAGAAAUCAUUGCUACCUAAAUAAAAGACUCCAAUCUGGAAAAUUGGUGACCUAAUCUGCUACAACAAUAGAAUGUGUUCUCUAAAUCCUGACUUAGAUAUUAAAGCCUCAUAUUUGAAAUGGUAUGUACGUGGCCCAACAUUUCUUAGGCUUUUAGCAUGGUUAGUUGUUAUAUGCAUGAUCUAAGGAAGGGCCAUUUGCAAGCUGCUAUAUGGAUCUUGAGAUGAUUUGGGUUUGAAGUUUAAGAGAGAUGAAUCUUUUAGAAGACACAUUGAUUCAGACUAUGUCAAGGAUCUAGAUAAGCACCAUUCUACUAUGAGCUACUUACAUUUGCAAAAGCAUUGGUGAGUUGGAGGUUGAUACUGCAGUAGGCUAUUGCAUUGGUAACCACUACAGCUGCAUGCAUGGGUUUGAUUGUAGUCAAAAGGGGGCUCUUUGGCUACAUGGUUUGAUUGAAGACUUGAAAAUUCAUCGUAAGCACAUUUGUCUAUUUUGUGAUGGUCAAGAGUUCCAUUCAUUUAGAAAAAGACCCAAGUCCGUUACUCUUGAGCUCAGCAUGUUGUUGAUAAGGAAGCUAUUCUUUUCAGAAGAUUAGGAUUGCAGAGAAUUUAGCUAACAUGAUGACUAAGCCAGUACCUUUGCACAAGUUCAAGUACUACUUUGAUUUAAUCCUAGUGUGAAGUUUGCAACCGUCACUAGGGGCUUUGGUGGAGACAACGAAGAAAUUUUAUUUGUGAGCUUUGAUCAAAAGAUUUGUUGUCACAGGGACAUGGCCUCAAGUCCAUCAAGACUUGAACUCGACAGUGUUCAGUUUUCUUCUUGGUUUUUUUCAUUCCUAUUACAUGUUUAGAGAUUUUAAGCCUGUAAAAGUUUUUAUAAUCUUGUAUGAAAGUGCUAUAUGCCCUUGCCCACAUCAGUUAUUUGUGAAAUAAGUUUCUAUAUCUACAGAAUAAUUUACCAUCAAUCAUCACCAUUUCAAAAUCAA